RNAcentral lists this ribosomal RNA (253 nucleotides) under uncultured prokaryote. RNAcentral's name for it is "partial 16S ribosomal RNA". It matches the Rfam family "Bacterial small subunit ribosomal RNA", at positions 524 to 775 of the family's 1533-position model. The record is from RNAcentral.
UACGGGGGGAGCAAGCGUUGUUCGGAUUUACUGGGCGUAAAGGGCGCGUAGGCGGCCUCCGCAAGUCAGUUGUGAAAUCUCCGAGCUUAACUCGGAAAGGUCAACUGAUACUGCGGGGCUAGAGUGCGGAAGGGGCAACUGGAAUUCUUGGUGUAGCGGUGAAAUGCGUAGAUAUCAAGAGGAACACCUGCGGCGAAGGCGGGUUGCUGGGCCGACACUGACGCUGAGGCGCGAAAGCUAGGGGAGCGAACGG